RNAcentral lists this transfer RNA (70 nucleotides) under Gonorynchus greyi (beaked salmon). RNAcentral describes it as "tRNA-Met". It matches the Rfam family "tRNA". Rfam says of the family: Transfer RNA (tRNA) molecules are approximately 80 nucleotides in length. The record is from RNAcentral. Lineage: Eukaryota; Metazoa; Chordata; Actinopteri; Gonorynchiformes; Gonorynchidae.
AGUAUAGUCAGCUAAGUAAAGCUUUCGGGCCCAUACCCCGGGAAUGUAGGUUAGAGCCCUAUCUAUACUA